RNAcentral lists this long non-coding RNA (369 nucleotides) under Gallus gallus (chicken). RNAcentral describes it as "lncRNA (ENSGALG00010002887.1)". Lineage: Eukaryota; Metazoa; Chordata; Aves; Galliformes; Phasianidae. The record is from RNAcentral.
CGCUGUUGGCUCUUCCUGAGCAUUUUCAUUCAUGAGACACAGCGCAGUUCAACUUUUAAAUCAAGUCAGCUCAUACAAUUUCAUGGUGGUCAAAUAGGAGAGAGACUUCUACAGCAUGGAGGAUUACGGGUGGCCUUGAAUAGAUACUUAGAGACCAACUUCAGUCAAGCCAGAGUGGGAAAGCGUCUUUUCAAAGAGACAGGCGAGAUUAAAGUAUAUUUCCUGAAUGACAAAGUUUGUGUGAUAGUGGCAAUUACUCUUCAGCCUAAGGGCUGGUUUGAAUUUAACUUCUGUUUUUGUUAUACGGAACUACAGUGCUCUGUGGGAUGAAAUACAGAGAAUUCUGAUUUCUCCUAGGCUGAAAUCUCU